GUGGCGACGGGUGAGUAACACGUGGGCAAUCUGCCCUUCACUCUGGGACAAGCCCUGGAAACGGGGUCUAAUACCGGAUAACACUCUGUCCCGCAUGGGACGGGGUUAAAAGCUCCGGCGGUGAAGGAUGAGCCCGCGGCCUAUCAGCUUGUUGGUGGGGUAAUGGCCUACCAAGGCGACGACGGGUAGCCGGCCUGAGAGGGCGACCGGCCACACUGGGACUGAGACACGGCCCAGACUCCUACGGGAGGCAGCAGUGGGGAAUAUUGCACAAUGGGCGAAAGCCUGAUGCAGCGACGCCGCGUGAGGGAUGACGGCCUUCGGGUUGUAAACCUCUUUCAGCAGGGAAGAAGCGAAAGUGACGGUACCUGCAGAAGAAGCGCCGGCUAACUACGUGCCAGCAGCCGCGGUAAUACGUAGGGCGCAAGCGUUGUCCGGAAUUAUUGGGCGUAAAGAGCUCGUAGGCGGCUUGUCACGUCGGAUGUGAAAGCCCGGGGCUUAACCCCGGGUCUGCAUUCGAUACGGGCUAGCUAGAGUGUGGUAGGGGAGAUCGGAAUUCCUGGUGUAGCGGUGAAAUGCGCAGAUAUCAGGAGGAACACCGGUGGCGAAGGCGGAUCUCUGGGCCAUUACUGACGCUGAGGAGCGAAAGCGUGGGGAGCGAACAGGAUUAGAUACCCUGGUAGUCCACGCCGUAAACGUUGGGAACUAGGUGUUGGCGACAUUCCACGUCGUCGGUGCCGCAGCUAACGCAUUAAGUUCCCCGCCUGGGGAGUACGGCCGCAAGGCUAAACUCAAGGAAUUGACGGGGGCCCGCACAGCAGCGGAGCAUGUGGCUUAAUUCGACGCACGCGAA
RNAcentral lists this ribosomal RNA (853 nucleotides) under Streptomyces sp. RNAcentral describes it as "bacterial SSU rRNA". It matches the Rfam family "Bacterial small subunit ribosomal RNA", at positions 95 to 965 of the family's 1533-position model. Lineage: Bacteria; Bacillati; Actinomycetota; Actinomycetes; Kitasatosporales; Streptomycetaceae. The record is from RNAcentral.